UGUUUCGGCUAGGGGGCCAUCCCGGCUUACCAACCCGAUGCAAACUGCGAAUACCGGAGAAUGUUAUCACGGGAGACACACGGCGGGUGCUAACGUCCGUCGUGAAGAGGGAAACAACCCAGACCGCCAGCUAAGGUCCCAAAGUCAUGGUUAAGUGGGAAACGAUGUGGGAAGGCCCAGACAGCCAGGAUGUUGGCUUAGAAGCAGCCAUCAUUUAAAGAAAGCGUAAUAGCUCACUGGUCGAGUCGGCCUGCGCGGAAGAUGUAACGGGGCUAAACCAUGCACCGAAGCUGCGGCAGCGACACUGUGUGUUGUUGGGUAGGGGAGCGUUCUGUAAGCCGUUGAAGGUGUGUCGUGAGGCAUGCUGGAGGUAUCAGAAGUGCGAAUGCUGACAUAAGUAACGAUAAAGCGGGUGAAAAGCCCGCUCGCCGGAAGACCAAGGGUUCCUGUCCAACGUUAAUCGGGGCAGGGUGAGUCGACCCCUAAGGCGAGGCCGAAAGGCGUAGUCGAUGGGAAACGGGUUAAUAUUCCCGUACUUGGUGUUACUGCGAAGGGGGGACGGAGAAGGCUAUGUUGGCCGGGCGACGGUUGUCCCGGUUUAAGCGUGUAGGCUGGUUUUCCAGGCAAAUCCG
Molecule: ribosomal RNA, 632 nt
Filed under: Salmonella enterica subsp. diarizonae
Lineage: Bacteria; Pseudomonadati; Pseudomonadota; Gammaproteobacteria; Enterobacterales; Enterobacteriaceae
Description: partial 23S ribosomal RNA
Rfam family: Bacterial large subunit ribosomal RNA
Source: RNAcentral